GGGUUGUGAGGUUAAGCGACUAAGCGUACACGGUGGAUGCCCUGGCAGUCAGAGGCGAUGAAGGACGUGCUAAUCUGCGAAAAGCGUCGGUAAGGUGAUAUGAACCGUUACAGCCGGCGAUGUCCGAAUGGGGAAACCCAGUGCAAUUCGUUGCACUAUCGUUAACUGAAUACAUAGGUUAACGAGGCGAACCGGGGGGAACUGAAACAUCUAAGUACCCCGAGGAAAAGAAAUCAACCGAGAUUCCCCCAGUAGCGGCGAGCGAACGGGGAGCAGCCCAGAGUCUGAAUCAGCUUGUGUGUUAGUGGAACGGUCUGGAAAGUCCGACGGUACAGGGUGAUAGUCCCGUACACCAAAAUGCACAGGCUGUGAACUCGAAGAGUAGGGCGGGACACGUGGUAUCCUGUCUGAAUAUGGGGGGACCAUCCUCCAAGGCUAAAUACUCCUGACUGACCGAUAGUGAACCAGUACCGUGAGGGAAAGGCGAAAAGAACCCCGGCGAGGGGAGUGAAAAAGAACCUGAAACCGUGUACGUACAAGCAGUGGGAGCACCUUCGGGUGUGACUGCGUACCUUUUGUAUAAUGGGUCAGCGACUUAUAUUCUGUAGCAAGGUUAACCGUAUAGGGGAGCCGCAGGGAAACCGAGUCUUAACUGGGCGUUAAGUUGCAGGGUAUAGACCCGAAACCCGGUGAUCUAGCCAUGGGCAGGUUGAAGGUUGGGUAACACUAACUGGAGGACCGAACCGACUAAUGUUGAAAAAUUAGCGGAUGACUUGUGGCUGGGGGUGAAAGGCCAAUCAAACCGGGAGAUAGCUGGUUCUCCCCGAAAGCUAUUUAGGUAGCGCCUCGUGAAUUCAUCUUCGGGGGUAGAGCACUGUUUCGGCUAGGGGGUCAUCCCGACUUACCAACCCGAUGCAAACUACGAAUACCGAAGAAUGUUAUCACGGGAGACACACGGCGGGUGCUAACGUCCGUCGUGAAGAGGGGAAACAACCCAGACCGCCAGCUAAGGUCCCAAAGUCAUGGUUAAGUGGGAAACGAUGUGGGAAGGCACAGACAGCCAGGAUGUUGGCUUAGAAGCAGCCAUCAUUUAAAGAAAGCGUAAUAGCUCACUGGUCGAGUCGGCCUGCGCGGAAGAUGUAACGGGGCUAAACCAUGCACCGAAGCUGCGGCAGCGACACUAUGUGUUGUUGGGUAGGGGAGCGUUCUGUAAGCCUGCGAAGGUGACCUGUGAGGGUUGCUGGAGGUAUCAGAAGUGCGAAUGCUGACAUAAGUAACGAUAAAGCGGGUGAAAAGCCCGCUCGCCGGAAGACCAAGGGUUCCUGUCCAACGUUAAUCGGGGCAGGGUGAGUCGACCCCCUAAGGCGAGGCCGAAAGGCGUAGUCGAUGGGAAACAGGUUAAUAUUCCUGUACUUGGUGUUACUGCGAAGGGGGGACGGAGAAGGCUAUGUUAGCCGGGCGACGGUUGUCCCGGUUUAAGCAUGUAGGCUGGUUAUCCAGGCAAAUCCGGAUAAUCAAGGCUGAGGUGUGAUGACGAGGCACUACGGUGCUGAAGUAACAAAUGCCCUGCUUCCAGGAAAAGCCUCUAAGCAUCAGGUAACAUCAAAUCGUACCCCAAACCGACACAGGUGGUCAGGUAGAGAAUACCAAGGCGCUUGAGAGAACUCGGGUGAAGGAACUAGGCAAAAUGGUGCCGUAACUUCGGGAGAAGGCACGCUGGUGUGUAGGUGAAGUCCCUGCGGAUGGAGCUGAGACCAGUCGAAGAUACCAGCUGGCUGCAACUGUUUAUUAAAAACACAGCACUGUGCAAACACGAAAGUGGACGUAUACGGUGUGACGCCUGCCCGGUGCCGGAAGGUUAAUUGAUGGGGUUAUCCGUAAGGAGAAGCUCUUGAUCGAAGCCCCGGUAAACGGCGGCCGUAACUAUAACGGUCCUAAGGUAGCGAAAUUCCUUGUCGGGUAAGUUCCGACCUGCACGAAUGGCGUAAUGAUGGCCAGGCUGUCUCCACCCGAGACUCAGUGAAAUUGAACUCGCUGUGAAGAUGCAGUGUACCCGCGGCAAGACGGAAAGACCCCGUGAACCUUUACUAUAGCUUGACACUGAACAUUGAGCCUUGAUGUGUAGGAUAGGUGGGAGGCUUUGAAGCGUGGACGCCAGUCUGCGUGGAGCCAACCUUGAAAUACCACCCUUUAAUGUUUGAUGUUCUAACGUUGGCCCCUUACCGGGGUUGCGGACAGUGUCUGGUGGGUAGUUUGACUGGGGCGGUCUCCUCCCAAAGCGUAACGGAGGAGCACGAAGGUUAGCUAAUCCUGGUCGGACAUCAGGAGGUUAGUGCAAUGGCAUAAGCUAGCUUGACUGCGAGCGUGACGGCGCGAGCAGGUGCGAAAGCAGGUCAUAGUGAUCCGGUGGUUCUGAAUGGAAGGGCCAUCGCUCAACGGAUAAAAGGUACUCCGGGGAUAACAGGCUGAUACCGCCCAAGAGUUCAUAUCGACGGCGGUGUUUGGCACCUCGAUGUCGGCUCAUCACAUCCUGGGGCUGAAGUAGGUCCCAAGGGUAUGGCUGUUCGCCAUUUAAAGUGGUACGCGAGCUGGGUUUAGAACGUCGUGAGACAGUUCGGUCCCUAUCUGCCGUGGGCGCUGGAGAAUUGAGGGGGGCUGCUCCUAGUACGAGAGGACCGGAGUGGACGCAUCACUGGUGUUCGGGUUGUCAUGCCAAUGGCACUGCCCGGUAGCUAAAUGCGGAAGAGAUAAGUGCUGAAAGCAUCUAAGCACGAAACUUGCCCCGAGAUGAGUUCUCCCUGAGACUUUAAGUCUCCUGAAGGAACGUUAAAGACGAUGACGUUGAUAGGCCGGGUGUGUAAGCGCAGCGAUGCGUUGAGCUAACCGGUACUAAUGAACCGUGAGGCUUAACCUUACAACGCCGAAG
RNAcentral lists this ribosomal RNA (2926 nucleotides) under Klebsiella pneumoniae. Its description in RNAcentral is "bacterial LSU rRNA". It matches the Rfam family "Bacterial large subunit ribosomal RNA". The record is from RNAcentral. Lineage: Bacteria; Pseudomonadati; Pseudomonadota; Gammaproteobacteria; Enterobacterales; Enterobacteriaceae.